Molecule: long non-coding RNA, 1939 nt
Organism: Bombus huntii
Lineage: Eukaryota; Metazoa; Arthropoda; Insecta; Hymenoptera; Apidae
Exons: 2
Source: RefSeq, a predicted model, not a curated record
AUCAUCAUACGUGUUCUAACAUAGAUAUAAUGUCAAACAGAUAGCUAAUUUAUGAGGAUAAUGAAAUAUAAUAAACUCCUUUAUCGUAUUACAGAAUACAAGUUCCAUUUCAUUCGUUACACUUCUCGCAAACAACGUUAAAAAUUGCACCUUAUUUAUUAUAUCUACGUUAUUUUUAGUAUUUACGAAUUUACAAUAUCCAUUUGGUAUAUUAUUUCGCGAGAUUCGGGUUGGGUUCGGGUUCGAGUGCUACGACCACCAGUAUAACCGGAAGAAAAAGCUAUUACUUUAAAUAUUCUAUGAAGGGCAUUGGCCCAGAUAAUUUUAUCCUUAAAUUUAACGAAUAAUUUGAGAAAGUAAUUGACUAGACGAAUAGGUACACGGAGAUUUGUUUCAAGAGAGUCUUGAAAAACAUGUGCUGCAAAACUAAAAGAGUCACGCCGGGACCUUGAGGACAAGGGGAGUCGUCACUUCCCGGGAGAGGACGCCGGGUAGUGUCGGAUUCGUACCGGCUAAAACACCUCCAUGGUGAUCGUCCUGACGAUUGGUAGGACAAUCCAGAGGCCAUCUUUUAUUCGUAGUACUCCUUCGUCUUCUCCCUGAUGGUGUAAUCAGGGAGUCAUCCUGUUGAUUGGACCUGUAGGAAGUGUAGUUGGAGCUAGGUGAAAAGAGAAUUCGUGUUUCGUCCCGGGACUACCGGUGGACUCGUCAGUAAGGCUAUACCCGGUAGUCCCUGCCUUAGACGUAGAGGGAGUCUCGCUAGGUGCGGUAUUUGUAUCGUGACAUCGUAUAUUCGACCGCUAGCGAGACAGACAGACUCGUUGUCGUCGUAGUAGUCCUCUGGUGUUGGCGGUUGGUACCCGCGGAUCGCCCGGGAGGUGUUACGACCGCGUUGAUGCCUCGACCUGUCAGCGUCCUGUUGGUACCAAUCCGCCACAGACCGUUAGGGGAGACCACUCCUCCUGAAGAUACAUAGAAAGACUGUGGCCAAAUUGUUUGUAAUCGCUUAUUUCCAUCUUCACCGUGGAAAUACCUGUUUCUUGGAUAAUCUUCCCGCGUUUUUUCAUGUUUGUAUCGAAGGCUGCGUCUCAUAGGUGAUAAGUAGUUGAAAUGAAAAUAAUUCUAAAGAUCUAAUAUCAUGUUAUCGUUCAAAUCUGCAUAAACAAAAAUGGACACGUACGAUGGAACUAGUAUUCCAAAUAUAGAGUUAGUCCCUUGCAUACGAGGAUCAUGAUCUCAUAACGAUCUUACACAGGUGACACUGCGAUUUGGGAAGUAUAGACGUGUUUCUAAAACGAAAAUUUUUACUUUUUUUUGCGCAUCAAACAGUAUGUAUAAAAAUUGUAAACAAGUUGAUAUUUAUUUUCUAAAAUAAGAAAUAUUACUAUUGCAGAUUUCCACCAUUUCAAAUGUAUAUUUCGCUCUUAAAAGCUGCCUUUACUGCCAAAUUCGGUUUUAAAAACGGUAUCUUUACUUUCUUACUUUAAUUAUACUAUGUUCUAUAAAAUUAUCCAUAAAAAUUAAAAACAAAGGUAAAAAUUAAACCUAAACAUGUAAGCUUUGCUUAUUAUCAUUCCAAGUACCAUAUCAAUUCACAUAUUACAUAAUUCCAGUUGUAUGGAAAGGCUGUAUAAUAAAUAUUAUAAAAAUGUUUUAUGUUUUGUCUUAGUGCUUUAUUUCUUUUUAUUUAUCGAGUACUACUGUGUUUUGACAUGCUAUACAUUUGACUUUUCACAUAAAAUAAUUUACAAGUUAAUUAAUUUUUUCCAUAUUAUAUUGGCAAGAAUUGUCAUUGCUUUUAUAACUUUAAUAUAUUGUAGUCAGUAUUUUUUAAUAGUAACGAAUAAAAUAAAUUAAAUUUACUUUAGUACAACAUUACAUAACAAUACAAAUAUGAAAACGUUUUUAUGUUGGAACAUAUAUACAAAGUAUCUCGAAA